CCUACGGGUGGCAGCAGUGAGGAAUAUUGGUCAAUGGCCGAGAGGCUGAACCAGCCAAGUCGCGUGAGGGAAGACGGCCCUACGGGUUGUAAACCUCUUUUGUCGGGGAGCAAAGCGAGUCACGUGUGACUCAUUGAGAGUACCCGAAGAAAAAGCAUCGGCUAACUACGUGCCAGCAGCCGCGGUAAUACGUAGGGGGCAAGCGUUAUCCGGAUUUACUGGGUGUAAAGGGAGCGUAGACGGCUAAUCAAGUCAGAAGUGAAAACCCAGGGCUCAACUUUGGGACUGCUUUUGAAACUGAGUAGCUAGAGUGCAGGAGAGGUAAGCGGAAUUCCUAGUGUAGCGGUGAAAUGCGUAGAUAUUAGGAGGAACACCAGUGGCGAAGGCGGCUUACUGGACUGUAACUGACGUUGAGGCUCGAAAGCGUGGGGAGCAAACAGGAUUAGAUACCCGAGUAGUC
Molecule: ribosomal RNA, 460 nt
Filed under: uncultured bacterium
Lineage: Bacteria
Description: partial 16S ribosomal RNA
Rfam family: Bacterial small subunit ribosomal RNA
Source: RNAcentral